RNAcentral lists this non-coding RNA (30 nucleotides) under Homo sapiens (human). The record is from RNAcentral. Lineage: Eukaryota; Metazoa; Chordata; Mammalia; Primates; Hominidae.
GAGGACCUAUCUGUAGACUACACUCAGAAA